This 337-nucleotide unclassified non-coding RNA is filed under the name soil metagenome. RNAcentral's name for it is "partial contains 5.8S ribosomal RNA, internal transcribed spacer 2, and large subunit ribosomal RNA". The stretch from base 1 to 120 matches the Rfam family "5.8S ribosomal RNA", at positions 35 to 154 of the family's 154-position model. The record is from RNAcentral.
GAUGAAGAACGUAGCGAAAUGCGAUAAGUAAUGUGAAUUGCAGAAUUCAGUGAAUCAUCGAAUCUUUGAACGCACAUUGCGCCCCUUGGUAUUCCAUGGGGCAUGCCUGUUCGAGCGUCAUUUGUACCUUCAAGCUCUGCUUGGUGUUGGGUGUUUGUCUCGCCUCUGCGCGUAGACUCGCCUCAAAACAAUUGGCAGCCGGCGUAUUGAUUUCGGAGCGCAGUACAUCUCGCGCUUUGCACUCAUAACGACGACGUCCAAAAGUACAUUUUUACACUCUUGACCUCGGAUCAGGUAGGGAUACCCGCUGAACUUAAGCAUAUCGAUAAGCGGAGGA